This 429-nucleotide ribosomal RNA is filed under the name Acidobacteriota bacterium. Its description in RNAcentral is "Acidobacteria bacterium partial 16S ribosomal RNA". It matches the Rfam family "Bacterial small subunit ribosomal RNA", at positions 355 to 776 of the family's 1533-position model. Lineage: Bacteria; Pseudomonadati; Acidobacteriota. The record is from RNAcentral.
UGGGGAAUUUUGGACAAUGGGGGAAACCCUUAUCCAGCCAUCCCGCGUGUGCGAUGAAGGCCUUCGGGUUGUAAAGCACUUUUGGCAGGAAAGAAACGUCAUGGGUUAAUACCCCGUGAAACUGACGGUACCUGCAGAAUAAGCACCGGCUAACUACGUGCCAGCAGCCGCGGUAAUACGUAGGGUGCAAGCGUUAAUCGGAAUUACUGGGCGUAAAGCGUGCGCAGGCGGUUCGGAAAGAAAGAUGUGAAAUCCCAGAGCUCAACUUUGGAACUGCAUUUUUAACUGCCGGGCUAGAGUGUGUCAGAGGGAGGUGGAAUUCCGCGUGUAGCAGUGAAAUGCGUAGAUAUGCGGAGGAACACCGAUGGCGAAGGCAGCCUCCUGGGAUAACACUGACGCUCAUGCACGAAAGCGUGGGGAGCAAACAGG